GUCCCUGUAGUUUAAUGGAUAGAACAAGAACCUCCUAAGUUCUAAAUGGUGGUUCGAUUCCACCCGGGGACGCCA
This 75-nucleotide transfer RNA is filed under the name Candidatus Uhrbacteria bacterium. RNAcentral describes it as "tRNA-Arg". It matches the Rfam family "tRNA". From Rfam's summary of the family: Transfer RNA (tRNA) molecules are approximately 80 nucleotides in length. Their secondary structure includes four short double-helical elements and three loops (D, anti-codon, and T loops). The record is from RNAcentral. Lineage: Bacteria; Candidatus Uhriibacteriota.